GUGGGGAAUAUUGGGCAAUGGGCGAAAGCCUGACCCAGCAACGCCGCGUGAAGGAAGAAGGCCCUCGGGUUGUAAACUUCUUUUAAGAGGGACGAAAGAAAUGACGGUACCUCUUGAAUAAGCCACGGCUAACUACGUGCCAGCAGCCGCGGUAAUACGUAGGUGGUGAGCGUUAUCCGGAUUUACUGGGUGUAAAGGGCUUGUAGGCGGGAUAGCAAGUCAGGUGUGAAAUCCGGGGGCUUAACCCUCGAACUGCACUUGAAACUGUUAUUCUUGAGUGAUGGAGAGGCAAGCGGAAUUCCUAGUGUAGUGGUGAAAUACGUAGAUAUUAGGAGGAACACCAGUGGCGAAGGCGGCUUGCUGGACAUUAACUGACGCUGAGGCGCGAAAGCGUGGGGAGCAAACAGGAUUAGAAACCCGUGUAGUCC
RNAcentral lists this ribosomal RNA (428 nucleotides) under uncultured bacterium. Its description in RNAcentral is "partial 16S ribosomal RNA". It matches the Rfam family "Bacterial small subunit ribosomal RNA", at positions 354 to 796 of the family's 1533-position model. The record is from RNAcentral.